This is a long non-coding RNA of Pseudoliparis swirei, 1142 nucleotides long. RefSeq lists it as uncharacterized. NCBI's taxonomy places the organism in Eukaryota, Metazoa, Chordata, Actinopteri, Perciformes, Liparidae. The transcript is spliced from 2 exons. The record is from RefSeq and is a predicted model, not a curated record.
UCAAUCAUUUUAUUUUAAGUUUCUACAAGUUACACCAGACAAUUAAAACCGAAUAAAUAAAAAAUUGCAAAACAACCAACUAUACGGACAAUCAGACAAGGAAGAAAAAUAAAUAAAAAACAACAACAACAUAAAUCAUCAUCUUCCAUAUUGAACCAACUAUAACCAUCAUUCAUAGAGUCACUUGGGUCCCAAGAUUGCAAAACGUCUUCUUAUGGUUUCGGCAUAGUCCUCGCCAAUAAAAUCCAUAAAAGGAUUCCAGACGGAAAAGAACCCGUUUAUGUCUCCUUGGAGGACGUGCGUGAGUCUUUCCAGUGGCAGCAGCUGGAGGACAUUGUGAAGCCAACUACAGACAGACGGUGUGGUGCUGUCCAUCCACUGCAAUUUACUACAACCAAAGUAAAUUAUAAAUCCAUAGUUUUACUUCAAUAAACACAGCAACACAUGGCUUUACUUCCCCCCCUACCGCUUCCUCCAGUUGGUAUCUCCCGGACCUAUAAAUCGGUGGUCAUGGACCUUGGGAACUAUUUUGCCAGAUCACCCUGAGAAGAGGAGGCAGGUUCCAGAGAUCCCUGGGAGGAAGAGACCAGUAACAGGUAGGUUGUUGCAAUACAUACACACGCACCACACACUCACUGCAUGUCUGCAGCCACAUGGCUAUGUUUUACGCAGUAACAAAUGGGACACUCCCUGCAUUUCCUGACUUUUAGCAGGGAGAUCAAUGGACCACUUUGUGUUGGUGUAGCCAUGUGCUCAGACAUGCACUCUACAACAUACAUCCACACACGUGUGUGAGAGGUGGGGUUCCUUUACCCCGCCUCUCACACACCAUCUCUAUUCCAGGUCCCUGGACGGUGUGCAGCUGUUGGUCUGUAACUCGCCAAUGGACAUGGAGCUGACCCCCAACGUGGCGGUGAGAGGGCGGAGGAGCCGCUGCAGAAGGAGGCCGGAGGAGCCGCUGCAGGAGGCCCGAGCAGUGCGGCGAGACUCUGCUGCCCCCUGCGGGAUAGAAAGAAUACUGCAGCAGUCUUUUGGUUAUAUUUACAAGAGUCGUUUAUGGUUUUCAUGAUUCUGCCCCGCUGCAGAGAAACGCGGAGAGAAUGUGAAGUGGUGCUCUUCGCAAUAAAACAUCUUUGAUGGGC